CGUAGGCUGUNAUAUAAGUCNGUGGUGAAAUNUUCGGGCUCAACCGGGAUACUGCCAUUGAUACUGUAUAGCUGGAAUAUGGUUGCUGUGGGUGGAAUGUGUGGUGUAGCGGUGAAAUGCAUAGAUAUCACACAGAAUAUCGAUUGCGAAGGCAGCUCACAAAGCCAUUAUUGACGCUGAGGCACGAAAGUGUGGGGAUCAAACAGGAUUAGAUACCCUGGUAGUCCACACUGUAAACGAUGAUAACUCGCUGUCGGCGAUAGACAGUCGGUGGCCAAGCGAAAGCGAUAAGUUAUCCACCUGGGGAGUACGACCGCAAGGUUGAAACUCAAAGGAAUUGACGGGGGCCCGCACAAGCGGAGGAACAUGUGGUUUAAUUCGAUGAUACGCGAGGAACCUUACCCGGGCUCGAACGGUGCAUGAAUAUACAAGAGAUUGUGUAGCCAGCAAUGGCAUGUAUCGAGGUGCUGCAUGGUUGUCGUCAGCUCGUGCCGUGAGGUGUCGACUUAAGUGCCAUAACGAGCGCAACCCUUGUCGUUAGUUACCAUCAGGUUAUGCUGGGGACUCUAGCGAGACUGCCACCGUAAGGUGAGAGGAAGGGGGGGAUGACGUCAAAUCAGCACGGCCCUUACGUCCGGGGUGACACACGUGUUACAAUGGUAGGUACAGAGGGUAGCUACCCAGCAAUGGGGUGCCAAUCUCAAAAGCCUAUCUCAGUUCGGAUUGGAGUCUGCAACUCGACUCCAUGAAGUUGGAUUCGCUUGUAAUCGCGCAUCAGCCAUGGCGCGGUGAAUACGUUCCCGGGCCUUGUACACACCGCCCGUCAAGCCAUGGAAGCCGGGGGUGCCUGAAGUUCGUGACCGCAAGGAGCGACCUAGGGCAAAACUGGUAACUGGGGCU
RNAcentral lists this ribosomal RNA (900 nucleotides) under uncultured Bacteroides sp. Its description in RNAcentral is "bacterial SSU rRNA". It matches the Rfam family "Bacterial small subunit ribosomal RNA", at positions 570 to 1482 of the family's 1533-position model. Lineage: Bacteria; Pseudomonadati; Bacteroidota; Bacteroidia; Bacteroidales; Bacteroidaceae. The record is from RNAcentral.